GUAGGGAAUAUUGGGCAAUGGAUGCAAGUCUGACCCAGCCAUCCCGCGUGCCGGAAGAAGGCCCUCAGGGUUGUAAACGGCUUUUGACGGUGAAGAAUCGACAGGAUGCGUCCUGUUUUGACGGUAGCCGUUGAAUAAGCACCGGCUAACUCCGUGCCAGCAGCCGCGGUAAUACGGAGGGUGCGAGCGUUGUCCGGAUUUAUUGGGUUUAAAGGGUGCGUAGGCUGGAAGGUCAGUCAGCGGUGAAAAGCGGUCGCUUAACGAUAGUCUUGCCGCAGAUACUUCCUUUCUUGGAUGAGGAGGAGGCCACUGGAACGGAUGGUGUAGCGGUGAAAUGCAUAGAUAUCAUCCAGAACACCGAUUGCGAAGGCAGGUGGCUGUACCUUAAUCGACGCUGAUGCACGAAAGCAUGGGGAGCAAACAGGAUUAGAUACCCUUGUAGUCC
This 445-nucleotide ribosomal RNA is filed under the name uncultured bacterium. RNAcentral's name for it is "partial 16S ribosomal RNA". It matches the Rfam family "Bacterial small subunit ribosomal RNA", at positions 354 to 796 of the family's 1533-position model. The record is from RNAcentral.